This 395-nucleotide ribosomal RNA is filed under the name Lanius bucephalus. RNAcentral's name for it is "partial 12S ribosomal RNA". It matches the Rfam family "Bacterial small subunit ribosomal RNA", at positions 794 to 1384 of the family's 1533-position model. Lineage: Eukaryota; Metazoa; Chordata; Aves; Passeriformes; Laniidae. The record is from RNAcentral.
GCCUGGCCCUAAAUAUUGAUGCUUCAUCCUACCUAAGCAUCCGCCCGAGAACUACGAGCACAAACGCUUAAAACUCUAAGGACUUGGCGGUGCUCCAAACCCACCUAGAGGAGCCUGUUCUGUAAUCGAUGAUCCACGAUCUACCUAACCAUUUCUUGCAAAAUCAGCCUAUAUACCGCCGUCGCCAGCCCACCCUCUCUGAAGGCCUAACAGUGAGCGCAAUAGUCUAACCCACUAGCAAGACAGGUCAAGGUAUAGCCUAUGGAAUGGGAGCAAUGGGCUACAUUUUCUAAGCUAGAACAUUACGGCAAAGAGGUCUGAAACGGCCUCUCGAAGGCGGAUUUAGCAGUAAAGUGGGAUAAUCAAGCCCUCUUUAAGCCGGCUCUGGAGCACGU